UGGGAUGUAGCCAAGUGGUAAGGCAACGGACUUUGACUUCGUUAUGCGCAGGUUCGAAUCCUGCCAUCCCAG
This 72-nucleotide transfer RNA is filed under the name Evansella cellulosilytica DSM 2522. RNAcentral describes it as "Bacillus cellulosilyticus DSM 2522 tRNA". It matches the Rfam family "tRNA". Rfam says of the family: Transfer RNA (tRNA) molecules are approximately 80 nucleotides in length. Lineage: Bacteria; Bacillati; Bacillota; Bacilli; Caryophanales; Bacillaceae. The record is from Rfam by way of RNAcentral.